AAACCAAGAAGACUAAGUCAUACAUUUUCGGUCAAAAGAUAGUUAGGUAGUUUUAGAUAGUUCAUUUAAUUGCUAUUAAGAGGUAGAAUUCGCAAAUAGCCUAGAGAUCUAACAGUAACUAGUAUAUUGAAGCUAUGAUAGCCCUGAGGGAAACUGGGAUUAGAUACCCCAUUAUUCUCGGAGGUAAAAAUAUAGAUCUACCAGAGUACUACGAAUUAAGUACAUUUGAAACUCAAAGAGCUUGGCGGUGUUUUAGACUUUUCAGGGGAACCUGUCUCAUAAUCGACAAUCCACGAGAUACCCUACCUUUAUUUGCUUUCAGUUUGUAUACCGUCGUCGGCAGGUAACUUUUUAGAAAGAAGAAGUUAGCAAAAGGAUUAACAAAUAAAUCCUUACGUCAGAUCAAGGUGCAGUCAACAUAAAGGAGAGGAUGGGUUACAAUUAUUAAAAUUAUAAAUACGGAAUAGUACUUUGAAAUAUAACUAUGAAGGAGGACUUGAAAGUAAAUUAGAUUAGAUAAAUAUCUUGAAUUAAGCUCUGAAACGUGC
Molecule: ribosomal RNA, 548 nt
Filed under: Vasula melones
Lineage: Eukaryota; Metazoa; Mollusca; Gastropoda; Neogastropoda; Muricidae
Description: Thais melones partial 12S ribosomal RNA
Source: RNAcentral